Molecule: ribosomal RNA, 295 nt
Filed under: uncultured bacterium
Lineage: Bacteria
Description: partial 16S ribosomal RNA
Rfam family: Bacterial small subunit ribosomal RNA
Source: RNAcentral
AACGAACGCUGGCGGCAGGUCUUAGGCAUGCAAGUCGAACGGGUGAAACAGGUGCUUGCACUUGUGGAUCUAGUGGCGCACGAGUGAGUAACGCGUGGGAAACUGCCCACUACUGGGGAAUAACGUUUGGAAACGAACGCUAAUACCGCAUACGCCGGAAACGGGAAAGAUUUAUCAGUGGUGGAUGUGCCCGCGUUGGAUUAGCUUGUUGGUGGGGUAAACGGCCUACCAAGGCGAUGAUCCAUAGCUGGUCUGAGAGGACGAUCAGCCACGCUGGAACUGAGACACGGUCCAG